Molecule: transfer-messenger RNA, 119 nt
Filed under: Candidatus Aminicenantota bacterium
Lineage: Bacteria; Candidatus Aminicenantota
Description: Candidatus Aminicenantes bacterium partial transfer-messenger RNA
Rfam family: transfer-messenger RNA
About the family: Bacterial tmRNA, also known as 10Sa RNA or SsrA, is named for its dual tRNA and mRNA-like properties. Its role is to liberate the mRNA from a stalled ribosome. To accomplish this part of the tmRNA is used as a reading frame that ends in a translation stop signal.
Source: RNAcentral
GGGGGCGAACUGGUUUCGACGGAGGUAAUGAGACACAGGUUGCACGCCGAGGUCCCACCCACCUCGCUAAACUGGUGGAAACAACCUAACUGCAGAACCUUUAGCAGUCGCGGCCUAAU